RNAcentral lists this ribosomal RNA (463 nucleotides) under uncultured bacterium. RNAcentral describes it as "partial 16S ribosomal RNA". It matches the Rfam family "Bacterial small subunit ribosomal RNA", at positions 28 to 506 of the family's 1533-position model. The record is from RNAcentral.
GACGAAUGCUGGCGGCGUGCUUAACACAUGCAAGUCGAACGGAAAGGCCCUGCUUGCAGGGUACUCGAGUGGCGAACGGGUGAGUAACACGUGGGUGAUCUGCCCUGCACUUCGGGAUAAGCCUGGGAAACUGGGUCUAAUACCGGAUAGGAGCCAUUUUUAGUGUGAUGGUUGGAAAGUUUUUUCGGUGUAGGAUGAGCUCGCGGCCUAUCAGCUUGUUGGUGGGGUAAUGGCCUACCAAGGCGGCGACGGGUAGCCGGCCUGAGAGGGUGGACGGCCACAUUGGGACUGAGAUACGGCCCAGACUCCUACGGGAGGCAGCAGUGGGGAAUAUUGCACAAUGGGCGCAAGCCUGAUGCAGCGACGCCGCGUGGGGGAUGACGGCCUUCGGGUUGUAAACUCCUUUCGCUAGGGACGAAGCUUUUGUGACGGUACCUGGAUAAGAAGCACCGGCUAACUACGU